This 1476-nucleotide ribosomal RNA is filed under the name uncultured bacterium. RNAcentral describes it as "16S ribosomal RNA". It matches the Rfam family "Bacterial small subunit ribosomal RNA". The record is from RNAcentral.
CUCAGGAUGAACGCUAGCGGCAGGCUUAACACAUGCAAGUCGAGGGGCAGCGGGGAGGAAGCUUGCUUUCUCCGCCGGCGACCGGCGCACGGGUGAGUAACACGUAUGCAACCUGCCCCUGUCAGGGGACAACCCGCCGAAAGGCGGGCUAAACCCGCGUACAUGCCACCGGGGCAUCCCGGAGGCAGGAAAGGCUUCGGCCGGACAGGGAUGGGCAUGCGGCGCAUUAGGCAGUAGGCGGGGUAACGGCCCACCUAACCGACGAUGCGUAGGGGUUCUGAGAGGAAGGUCCCCCACACUGGUACUGAGACACGGACCAGACUCCUACGGGAGGCAGCAGUGAGGAAUAUUGGUCAAUGGUCGGGAGACUGAACCAGCCAAGCCGCGUGAGGGAUGAAGGUACGGAGUAUCGUAAACCUCUUUUGUCAGGGAACAAAGGCGGGGACGUGUCCCCGGAUGAGUGUACCUGAAGAAAAAGCGUCGGCUAACUCCGUGCCAGCAGCCGCGGUAAUACGGAGGAUGCGAGCGUUAUCCGGAUUUAUUGGGUUUAAAGGGUGCGCAGGCGGUCUGUUAAGUCAGCGGUCAAAGCCCGGGGCUCAACCCCGGCCCGCCGUUGAAACUGGCAGUCUCGAGUUGGAGAGAAGUAUGCGGAAUGCGCGGUGUAGCGGUGAAAUGCAUAGAUAUCGCGCAGAACUCCGAUUGCGAAGGCAGCAUGCCGGCUCCACACUGACGCUGAGGCACGAAAGCGUGGGUAUCGAACAGGAUUAGAUACCCUGGUAGUCCACGCAGUAAACGAUGAAUGCUGGCUGUCCGGGGGGACUGACCCCUGGGUGGCGAAGCGAAAGCGAUAAGCAUUCCACCUGGGGAGUACGCCGGCAACGGUGAAACUCAAAGGAAUUGACGGGGGCCCGCACAAGCGGAGGAACAUGUGGUUUAAUUCGAUGAUACGCGAGGAACCUUACCCGGGCUCAAACGGGGAGUGACUCAGGCAGAGACGCCUGUUUCCCACGGGACACUCCCCGAGGUGCUGCAUGGUUGUCGUCAGCUCGUGCCGUGAGGUGUCGGCUUAAGUGCCAUAACGAGCGCAACCCCCGCGUGCAGUUGCUAACAGUCAACGCUGAGGACUCUGCACGGACUGCCGGCGCAAGCCGCGAGGAAGGCGGGGAUGACGUCAAAUCAGCACGGCCCUUACGUCCGGGGCGACACACGUGUUACAAUGGGUGGUACAGCGGGAAGCCAGGCGGCGACGCCGAGCGGAACCCGAAAUCCACUCUCAGUUCGGAUCGGAGUCUGCAACCCGACUCCGUGAAGCUGGAUUCGCUAGUAAUCGCGCAUCAGCCAUGGCGCGGUGAAUACGUUCCCGGGUCUUGUACACACCGCCCGUCAAGCCAUGGGAGCCGAGGGCGCUUGAAGUGCGUCGCCGCGAGGCGCGCCCUAGAGCGAAAUCGGUGACUGGGGCUAAGUCGUAACAAGGUA